AGAUUGAACGCUGGCGGCAGGCCUAACACAUGCAAGUCGAGCGGCAGCACGGGUACUUGUACCUGGUGGCGAGCGGCGGACGGGUGAGUAAUGCCUAGGAAUCUGCCUGGUAGUGGGGGGAUAACGCUCGGAAACGGACGCUAAUACCGCAUACGUCCUACGGGAGAAAGCAGGGGACCUUCGGGCCUUGCGCUAUCAGAUGAGCCUAGGUCGGAUUAGCUAGUUGGUGAGGUAAUGGCUCACCAAGGCGACGAUCCGUAACUGGUCUGAGAGGAUGAUCAGUCACACUGGAACUGAGACACGGUCCAGACUCCUACGGGAGCAGCAGUGGGAAUUUGGACAAGUGGGGGAAACCUGAUCCAGCCACUCCCGCGUGUCGCGAGUAGG
Molecule: ribosomal RNA, 387 nt
Filed under: uncultured soil bacterium
Lineage: Bacteria
Description: bacterial SSU rRNA
Rfam family: Bacterial small subunit ribosomal RNA
Source: RNAcentral